Molecule: ribosomal RNA, 1301 nt
Filed under: metagenome
Description: bacterial LSU rRNA
Rfam family: Bacterial large subunit ribosomal RNA
Source: RNAcentral
GUACACGACCGUACCGCAAACCGACACUGGUGCGCGAGAUGAGUAUUCUAAGGCGCUUGAGAGAACUCAGGAGAAGGAACUCGGCAAAUUGACACCGUAACUUCGGAAGAAGGUGUGCCUUUAGUAGGUGAACCUGUACAAGGGGAGCCCAAUGAGGUUGCAAAAAAUCGGUGGCUGCGACUGUUUAAUAAAAACACAGCACUCUGCAAACACGAAAGUGGACGUAUAGGGUGUGACGCCUGCCCGGUGCUGGAAGAUUAAAUGAUGGGGUGCAAGCUCUUGAUUGAAGUCCCAGUAAACGGCGGCCGUAACAAUAACGGUCCUAAGGUAGCGAAAUUCCUUGUCGGGUAAGUUCCGACCUGCACGAAUGGCGUAACGAUGGCCACACUGUCUCCUCCUGAGACUCAGCGAAGUUGAAAUGUUUGUGAUGAUGCAAUCUCCCCGCGGAAAGACGGAAAGACCCCAUGAACCUUUACUGUAGCUUUGUAUUGGACUUUGAACAGAUCUGUGUAGGAUAGGUGGGAGGCUUUGAAGUGUGGUCGCUAGAUCGCAUGGAGCCAACGUUGAAAUACCACCCUGGUGUGUUUGAGGUUCUAACCUAGGCCCGUAAUCCGGGUCGGGGACAGUGCAUGGUAGGCAGUUUGACUGGGGCGGUCUCCUCCCAAAGCGUAACGGAGGAGUUCGAAGGUACGCUAGGUACGGUCGGACAUCGUGCUAAUAGUGCAAUGGCAUAAGCGUGCUUAACUGCGAGACUGACAAGUCGAGCAGAUGCGAAAGCAGGACAUAGUGAUCCGGUGGUUCUGUAUGGAAGGGCCAUCGCUCAACGGAUAAAAGGUACUCUGGGGAUAACAGGCUGAUACCGCCCAAGAGUUCAUAUCGACGGCGGUGUUUGGCACCUCGAUGUCGGCUCAUCUCAUCCUGGGGCUGUAGCCGGUCCCAAGGGUAUGGCUGUUCGCCAUUUAAAGAGGUACGUGAGCUGGGUUUAAAACGUCGUGAGACAGUUUGGUCCCUAUCUUCCGUGGGCGCUGCAGAUUUGAGGAAGCCUGCUCCUAGUACGAGAGGACCGGAGUGGACACACCUCUGGUGUAUCGGUUGUCACGCCAGUGGCAUUGCCGAGUAGCUAUGUGUGGAAGAGAUAACCGCUGAAAGCAUCUAAGCGGGAAACUCGUUUCAAGAUGAGAUCUGCCGGGGCCUUGAGCCCCCUAAAGAGUCGUUCAAGACCAGGACGUUGAUAGGUCGGGUGUGGAAGCGCAGUAAUGCGUUAAGCUAACCGAUACUAAUUGCUCGUGCGGCUUGACCCU